CCUACGGGAGGCAGCAGUGGGGAAUAUUGGACAAUGGGGGGAACCCUGAUCCAGCGACGCCGCGUGAGUGAAGAAGUAUUUCGGUAUGUAAAGCUCUAUCAGCAGGGAAGCAAGAAAUGACGGUACCUGACUAAGAAGCCCCGGCUAACUACGUGCCAGCAGCCGCGGCAAUACGUAGGGGGCAAGCGUUAUCCGGAUUUACUGGGUGUAAAGGGAGCGUAGACGGCGAUGCAAGUCUGACGUGAAAGGCGGGGGCCCAACCCCCGGACUGCUGUUGAAACUGGAUGGCUGGAGUGCAGGAGAGGUAAGUGGAAUGCGUGGUGUAGCGGUGAAAUGCGUGGAUAUUAGGAGGAACACCAGUGGCGAAGGCGGCUUACUGGACUGUAACUGACGUUGAGGCACGAAAGCGUGGGGAGCGAACAGGAUUAGAUACCCGAGUAGUC
This 443-nucleotide ribosomal RNA is filed under the name uncultured bacterium. RNAcentral describes it as "partial 16S ribosomal RNA". It matches the Rfam family "Bacterial small subunit ribosomal RNA", at positions 338 to 795 of the family's 1533-position model. The record is from RNAcentral.